Molecule: long non-coding RNA, 1016 nt
Filed under: Lactuca sativa (garden lettuce)
Lineage: Eukaryota; Viridiplantae; Streptophyta; Magnoliopsida; Asterales; Asteraceae
Description: long non-coding RNA (LSAT_LNC000682)
Source: RNAcentral
ACAAACACAUAUAUUUGACAAUUUUACCCUUAUAGUUAAAGUACGUUUUCCCUAAUGGAAUGGAAUGGACCAUUCCUAAAGAAAGAUGAUUCAUUCCAUUUUGUUAUUUUCAUUGUCUUUUUUAUUUCAUUCCAUCAUUGAUAUAACCCUUAUGUUAUUUCUCUGAUUUUUAAUGACACAUCUUUUUGAAAAUUUUACCCUUAUAGCUAAAAAGAGUAAAGUAGGUUGUGAUUUCCUUCGAUUUAUCCUUGUAGUUAGGAUAAUGUAUCAAAUAUAGAUAAAAUUAUAAUUUGUAGAAUACCAAAACCAAAAACUACAACAGAUUCACCUGCACUUUUUAACCUUUUUUUGGUUUUCAGUCUACGGAGGUUGGCAAUUUCAGUGACCUUUUAGGGGCAAAUAUUUUUUGUCUGGAUUCCGAGAUAUUUAAUAUUUGACGAUGAUAUCAUAUUACUUUUCGGUUUGUUAUAUGAAUCUCAACAAUCUGUGAGUUUUGUUAAUCUUCACGCUUUUCCUUCCAAAAUUUAUCCCACAGCUUUAACGUUUUGUCAUUUUCUCUCAAAACUUGACAGAAUUCACAGGAAAUUACAAUCAAAAGUAAUCAGAUCUUUUUUUUUUUAAAUAAGACUAAUUUCCAGUUUCUCUAUCCACUUUGCAGCCUUCCCUACAACAAAGGUUAAAAGGAUUUCAAGAGAAAUUGGAGGUGUCUUUUAUGGAAUUUCAAUCUUGGACCUUACAUGGGAACCAAUUCAUUUCUGAAAUAAGUUCUCAGCUCUAGGAUUUCACGUAUGUAAGUUUUUAGUUAUGGAAACUUAGUUAUCAAAUUUGCUUUAGGCUUCACUAUCUGUAAUUCUAUGAUAUUAGUAGCUAUAGUUUAUCCAAAUGAAAAUUUUAUAAUGUUUGCUUCCGAUUUCUUGCUGAUAUUUUCCAUGAGUUGCAAAGUGACAACACCUUCUGUAAGGGGCUCAGCAGAUUCGUUAUUCAAAGGUCAUAAGACGAUAUGAAACCAUUAUCAU